RNAcentral lists this ribosomal RNA (253 nucleotides) under uncultured bacterium. Its description in RNAcentral is "partial 16S ribosomal RNA". It matches the Rfam family "Bacterial small subunit ribosomal RNA", at positions 524 to 776 of the family's 1533-position model. The record is from RNAcentral.
UACGUAGGGGGCUAGCGUUGUCCGGAAUCAUUGGGCGUAAAGAGCGUGUAGGCGGCCCGGUAAGUCCGCUGUAAAAGUCAAAGGCUCAACCUUUGAAUGUCAGUGGAUACUGUCGGGCUAGAGUCCGGAAGAGGCGAGUGGAACUCCUGGUGUAGCGGUGGAAUGCGCAGAUAUCAGGAGGAACACCGGUGGCGAAGGCGGGUCUCUGGGCCGAUACUGACGCUGAGGAGCGAAAGCGUGGGGAGCGAACAGG